CCAUUUGCAGCAUGCAUAUAUGUAGCUAGGGUUUCGGCAACCCGAGGAGCAGACAUUCCCCGACUGGAGGAGGCGUUGAGCAGCCCGCGUUGAAGAAUGGAGGAGAGGGAAGGGGCCGCAACACCCUAGGCACGGAUUCAGAUUCAGUGACUUUACUCAAGGAAGUUACAACGUAACUUUACUCUCUCCAUCUACCCUCCAACUAAGAUCCAAGGGCUACCAUCGCUUGCAGGCCAAAAGGAGCCAAGACUUGGAACUUUGUUCCCCGUGCGUCUGCUAGAUUAAGGAUUUGAGGUGUGGCCGGUGCAUCUGGGAAGGCGUCCGCCGCGUUCGUACUGGCGUCUGGCCGUCUACGGUGUCCCUUGGCGAGUACCUGUUGGCCGCGCUUGUGCAAUUCGAGGCGGCGUCGUGGCGGCGGCUUCAUCAGCCUGGACGAGAUCGCGGUGCUCGACGCCACCGUCGCGGGCGACGCGGCCGCCGUUGAGGACCUGCGCAACGCCUUCGGCUUCUCUGACGCCGACGGCAACGGCCUAUCCACCACCAAGCUCAUGCAUGUCCUCUGAGUCGCCAGUGAGUCCGCGUUCGCCGUGCAGUGUCGUCGCAUUGUCGAGGGCCCAUACAGCUGGUCCUACCGGCCUUGUGCGCCUUCACGCCGGUGUAGACCAUGGUCGGAACGACUCCGAUGCAGCCCAUUCUAUCAGUAGCACGAGCGUGGCCUUCGUGAAGCAUAUGGACACUGACGAGCUCGAGCGUCGUCUAAGACGUUUACCACGGUGUGCUGCGCGAGGAUCGACGAAGCCGCCGCACGCCAGAUGCUCGCAGGGCAUGGAGCGCGUGUGGUGCCCGCGGGACGUUGCGAAGUUCGGGCGUCGUAGUCGCCGGGUGUGUUGUUGUCAGGGACGUGAACGCCGUGAAGGAGGACACGUGGGAUGCGGUCAGGCAAGACCGACGCCGGGACGCGCAUGGCGCGCUGCCUGUCGACGGCCAUGUCCCGCUCCUGUUGUUCAUCGACCGACGAAGAGCUCAGACAGGAUGGCUGGGCGCGCUGCGCGCGGAAUGCCAGUGAGGCGCGACUGAAGGGAACGCAAGACUCCGUCACGUGAAAAAAAAGAGCUUCGAAUCGAUCUGGCUCCUUGGAUAUUGGUUGGAGGGUGGAUGGCAGGAGUAAAGUUACGACGUGACUUGCCUAAGCAAAGUCACCGAAUCCGCGUCCCCUAGGCACGCCGACGCGCCACCCGCAAGGGUCGCCGUCGCGUCACCGCUCGCAACCGUGUCGUGCCUGCCACCGCCUUGGGAACAGAGAGAGAGAGGAGGAGUAGGAGGAGGAGCCUGCCGCCGCCUUGGGAACAGAGAGAGAGAGAGAGAGAGAGGAGGAGGAGGAGGAGGAGGAGGAGAAGUGCUGCGGCCGCGGCUCGCUCAUGCCCAGCGCCCCG
RNAcentral lists this long non-coding RNA (1433 nucleotides) under Sorghum bicolor (sorghum). RNAcentral describes it as "long non-coding RNA (SBIC_LNC012535)". Lineage: Eukaryota; Viridiplantae; Streptophyta; Magnoliopsida; Poales; Poaceae. The record is from RNAcentral.